Molecule: ribosomal RNA, 1026 nt
Filed under: Escherichia coli
Lineage: Bacteria; Pseudomonadati; Pseudomonadota; Gammaproteobacteria; Enterobacterales; Enterobacteriaceae
Description: partial 23S ribosomal RNA
Rfam family: Bacterial large subunit ribosomal RNA
Source: RNAcentral
GCCCCGGUAAACGGCGGCCGUAACUAUAACGGUCCUAAGGUAGCGAAAUUCCUUGUCGGGUAAGUUCCGACCUGCACGAAUGGCGUAAUGAUGGCCAGGCUGUCUCCACCCGAGACUCAGUGAAAUUGAACUCGCUGUGAAGAUGCAGUGUACCCGCGGCAAGACGGAAAGACCCCGUGAACCUUUACUAUAGCUUGACACUGAACAUUGAGCCUUGAUGUGUAGGAUAGGUGGGAGGCUUUGAAGUGUGGACGCCAGUCUGCAUGGAGCCGACCUUGAAAUACCACCCUUUAAUGUUUGAUGUUCUAACGUUGGCCCGUAAUCCGGGUUGCGGACAGUGUCUGGUGGGUAGUUUGACUGGGGCGGUCUCCUCCUAAAGAGUAACGGAGGAGCACGAAGGUUGGCUAAUCCUGGUCGGACAUCAGGAGGUUAGUGCAAUGGCAUAAGCCAGCUUGACUGCGAGCGUGACGGCGCGAGCAGGUGCGAAAGCAGGUCAUAGUGAUCCGGUGGUUCUGAAUGGAAGGGCCAUCGCUCAACGGAUAAAAGGUACUCCGGGGAUAACAGGCUGAUACCGCCCAAGAGUUCAUAUCGACGGCGGUGUUUGGCACCUCGAUGUCGGCUCAUCACAUCCUGGGGCUGAAGUAGGUCCCAAGGGUAUGGCUGUUCGCCAUUUAAAGUGGUACGCGAGCUGGGUUUAGAACGUCGUGAGACAGUUCGGUCCCUAUCUGCCGUGGGCGCUGGAGAACUGAGGGGGGCUGCUCCUAGUACGAGAGGACCGGAGUGGACGCAUCACUGGUGUUCGGGUUGUCAUGCCAAUGGCACUGCCCGGUAGCUAAAUGCGGAAGAGAUAAGUGCUGAAAGCAUCUAAGCACGAAACUUGCCCCGAGAUGAGUUCUCCCUGACUCCUUGAGGGUCCUGAAGGAACGUUGAAGACGACGACGUUGAUAGGCCGGGUGUGUAAGCGCAGCGAUGCGUUGAGCUAACCGGUACUAAUGAACCGUGAGGCUUAACCUUACAACGCCGAAG